UAAUACGAAGGGGGCUAGCGUUGCUCGGAUUUACUGGGCGUAAAGGGCGCGUAGGCGGACGAUUUAGUCAGAGGUGAAAGCCCGGGGCUCAACCCCGGAAUAGCCUUUGAUACUGGUCGUCUUGAGUUUGGGAGAGGUAUGCGGAACUCCGAGUGUAGAGGUGAAAUUCGUAGAUAUUCGGAAGAACACCAGUGGCGAAGGCGGCAUACUGGCCCAAUACUGACGCUGAGGCGCGAAAGCGUGGGGAGCAAACAGGAUUAGAUACCCUGGUAGUCCACGCCGUAAACGAUGAUUGCUAGUUGUCGGCACGCAUGCGUGUCGGUGACGCAGCUAACGCAUUAAGCAAUCCGCCUGGGGAGUACGGUCGCAAGAUUA
RNAcentral lists this ribosomal RNA (375 nucleotides) under uncultured bacterium. RNAcentral describes it as "bacterial SSU rRNA". It matches the Rfam family "Bacterial small subunit ribosomal RNA", at positions 521 to 896 of the family's 1533-position model. The record is from RNAcentral.